AUUGACCGCUGGCGGAAUGCUUUACACAUGCAAGUCGAACGGCAGCACGGGUGCAAUCCUGGUGGCGAGUGGCGAACGGGUGAGUAAUGUAUCGGAACGUGCCCAGUCGUGGGGGAUAACGUAGCGAAAGCUACGCUAAUAACGCAUACGAACUAUGGAUGAAAGCGGGGAUUGCAAGACCUCGCGCGAUGGGAGCGGCCGAUAUCAGUUUAGGUAGUUGGUGGGGUAAAGGCCCACCAAGCAUGCGAUCUGUAGCUGGUAUGAGGGGACGACCAGCGGCACUGGAACUGAAACACGGUCCAGACUCUUACGGGAGGCAGCAGUGGGGAAUUUUGGACAAUGGGCGAAGGCCUGAUCCAGCCAUUCCGCGUGCAGGAUGAAGGCCCUCGGGUUGUAAACUGCUUUUGUACAGAACGAAAAGGUUUCUACUAAUAAUAGGAGCUCAUGACGGUACUGUAAGAAUAAGCACCGGCUAACUACGUGCCAGCCGCCGCAGUAA
RNAcentral lists this ribosomal RNA (499 nucleotides) under uncultured bacterium. Its description in RNAcentral is "partial 16S ribosomal RNA". It matches the Rfam family "Bacterial small subunit ribosomal RNA", at positions 30 to 523 of the family's 1533-position model. The record is from RNAcentral.